RNAcentral lists this ribosomal RNA (274 nucleotides) under uncultured bacterium. Its description in RNAcentral is "partial 16S ribosomal RNA". It matches the Rfam family "Bacterial small subunit ribosomal RNA", at positions 523 to 796 of the family's 1533-position model. The record is from RNAcentral.
AUACGGAGGAUGCAAGCGUUGUUCGGAUUUACUGGGCGUAAAGAGCGUGUAGGCGGUUUAGCAAGUCAGAUGUGAAAGCCCCGGGCUCAACCCGGGAAGUGCAUUUGAAACUGCUUCACUAGAGUAUGGGAGAGGAGAUUGGAAGUCCUGGUGUAGAGGUGAAAUUCGUAGAUAUCAGGAGGAACACCCGUGGCGAAGGCGAUUCUCUGGACCAAUACUGACGCUGAGACGCGAAAGCGUGGGGAGCAAACAGGAUUAGAAACCCCAGUAGUCC